RNAcentral lists this ribosomal RNA (253 nucleotides) under uncultured bacterium. Its description in RNAcentral is "partial 16S ribosomal RNA". It matches the Rfam family "Bacterial small subunit ribosomal RNA", at positions 524 to 776 of the family's 1533-position model. The record is from RNAcentral.
UACGGAGGGGGCUAGCGUUGUUCGGAAUUACUGGGCGUAAAGCGCACGUAGGUGGACCAGCAAGUUAGGGGUGAAAUCCCGGGGCUCAACCCCGGAACUGCCUUUAAAACUGUUGGUCUGGAGGUCGAGAGAGGUGAGUGGAAUUCCGAGUGUAGAGGUGAAAUUCGUAGAUAUUCGGAGGAACACCAGUGGCGAAGGCGGCUCACUGGCUCGAUACUGACGCUGAGGUGCGAAAGCGUGGGGAGCAAACAGG